Molecule: small nuclear RNA, 164 nt
Organism: Trichosurus vulpecula (common brushtail)
Lineage: Eukaryota; Metazoa; Chordata; Mammalia; Diprotodontia; Phalangeridae
Product: U1 spliceosomal RNA
Exons: 1
Source: RefSeq, a predicted model, not a curated record
UCAAAUAAAAGGCAGAUGUGAUUCCAUGAUCAUGAAAAUGGUUUCCUCAGGAUGAGGUUUAUCCAUUGCAUUCCAGAUGGGCCAAUCCCUGCAAUAUUCCCAAAUGUAGGAAACUUAACUGCAUAAUUUGUGGUAGUGGGGAACUGCAUCCAUGCUGUCCCCUG